GACGAACGCUGGCGGCGUGCUUAACACAUGCAAGUCGAGCGGUAAGGCCCUUUCGGGGGUACGACGAGCGGCGAACGGGUGAGUAACACGUGGGUGACCUGCCCUUAGCUCUGGGAUAAGCCUGGGAAACUGGGUCUAAUACCGGAUAUGACUCCAUGACGCAUGUUGUGGGGUGGAAAGCCUUGUGCGGCUAGGGAUGGGCCUGCGGCCUAUCAGCUUGUUGGUGGGGUGAUGGCCUACCAAGGCGACGACGGGUAGCCGGCCUGAGAGGGCGACCGGCCACACUGGGACUGAGACACGGCCCAGACUCCUACGGGAGGCAGCAGUGGGGAAUCUUGCGCAAUGGGCGAAAGCCUGACGCAGCGACGCCGCGU
This 374-nucleotide ribosomal RNA is filed under the name uncultured bacterium. Its description in RNAcentral is "bacterial SSU rRNA". It matches the Rfam family "Bacterial small subunit ribosomal RNA", at positions 28 to 402 of the family's 1533-position model. The record is from RNAcentral.